Molecule: long non-coding RNA, 2019 nt
Filed under: Homo sapiens (human)
Lineage: Eukaryota; Metazoa; Chordata; Mammalia; Primates; Hominidae
Description: non-protein coding lnc-WDPCP-7:1
Source: RNAcentral
UUUUAAUAGGCUCGUAACUCAUCAUGACUAAAAUACGGGAACACUUACUCACACAUCUUAUGUCCAAGUUAAAAAAGACACCUGCCAACUUAAGAUGAACCAAGCUCAAUUAGUUUCAAGCAAUCAAGGAAAAGGCCACUGUUGUUCCUAUGGCUUAAUAAAGGAAAAUAAAUACUUUCUAUAAAAUAUAGUGUUGUUGACUUUAAAUGAGCUUCACAGUAUAAGGCAAAACUGAAUAUAAGACUUUUAAAGAAAUUACUUGGCUACUUACCAUAUAGCUUGGGUCUAGUAGUUAAUGCACCAUAGAACCCUUAAAUGUACUAGCAAAGUUUACUACUGAACAGAGGUUUUCCAAAUCCUAUUUUUGUAAAUAGAAGAUUCAUUUUUGCAAGUUAUUACUCAGUAAUUCCAUUCUAAAAUUUGUGUUUGCCUGAAAUGUAGCACUCCAGCAUAUAUGCAUGUAAUAUAUCUGUGACAGAACAAAUGCCAGGUGUUCUUUGUCCAAGUCUGAUGUAAACUGCUGUCACCUGGUUCAGACCCAGAGUCUUCUACAUGGAAGAGGGGGAAAAACAAUGGAAGUAGAAGCUAAAACUUAGUCUAUCUAAAACCAAAUUCAUUUUUUUAAAACACAAAAUUAUCCUUACAUUCUCUUUCUCUAUUAAAGGCCGAGCCAGGAUGACUGUCUUGGUCUCCUCUCCGAUCCUCUUUUCUCCCCUCUUCCUUCUCUCUUUUCCUUCCUUCCUUCUCUCCCUCUUUCUUUUCCUUUCGUCUAUCCAUCCACCCAACAAUUAUUUAUUGAGUACCUAUUGCAUACUAAGCACCAAUGCUAGGCUCUAAGGAUAUAGAAAUAAAGAAGACCAAAGUACAUAGGUAUGAUAUAGUGAUUGGAGAAAAGGGGUGGUUUAUAUAGGGUACUCAGGGAAGGCUUCUUUAAGGAGGUAGCAUUUGAGAAGAGAUUUGAAUGAAAUGAGGGACUGAGUUGUUAGAAAACUGGAGAAAUAAUGUUUCUCUGCUUUAGAGGUAUGCCAAGUUUAAAAUUUUUAUUUACUUACUGUGAAAGAUAAUAUAUACAUCAAGAUAUGCACAAAACAAAACAAUUUUUCUGCUCUUGGUUAACUCUGUCUUUCAGGAGAGCUCACGGCUCACCCCUCAGGUUUUCUGUUAUUUAAAGAAAACAAUAACUGUGCCUGACAAUUCAAUAAAAAUCUUUAUUUUAUGCAGUAUCUUACUGUUUUGCAGUAGAAAGAUCUCCCAAGUAUCUUUUGGAACUGGAAGUCUUGCUGGAAUGAUUUUUAAUAUUAUUAAUCAGAUUAUGUCACUCCCGCGAAUCAGAACCCACCAAUGGCUUCCCAUAACCUGCAGAAUAAAAUUACCGUGACCUUUGAGGCCCUGUGUGACCUGGUCAUCUCCUCUCUCUCCAAACUUGUUUCUUUCCGCUCACCGCCUUUUUUGUUCCAUUAGUAUUCUGGUCCUCAUGCUCAGUCAUUCUAGCCUCAGGGCCUUUAGAUUUAUUUUUCACUCUGUAAAAUUCAGCUCUUUAGAGAAACUAGCCAUGCUUUAGGUGAUCAACAGUCACGUGUAGCUUGUGGAUACUACAUUAAUGCAGAUACAGAACAUUUCCACCAUCAAAUAAAGAUCUAUUUGAACUAGGAUAGGUAGUUUAUAGGAAACAGGAGAAAAAAAUGGCUCUUAAGUUUUCUUCCUGAGCAACUGCAUGAAAGGCAAUGCCAUUUUCUAGGAGAUAGGAAAAACAGGGGAAACAGCAAGUUUGGAAGGAAAAUACAUUUCAAUUUUGCAGCAAGAGAAAUGUUGAGAAGAAGUUUGGAAGAAAAAUAUAGUUCAAUUUUGCACCAGGAGAAAUGCUGAGUAGGCAGAGCUCAGGAAAAAGUGGGAACUAGAGAUACAAAUUUGAAACACAUAACUAAAGAGACAGUAUUUUUUAAGUCAUAGAAUUAGAUCUGAUUGCAAAUGGUACAACCCCUUUGGAAGGCCUUUUGACAAUGACUAUCAAAAUUACAG